This 21-nucleotide non-coding RNA is filed under the name Mus musculus (house mouse). Lineage: Eukaryota; Metazoa; Chordata; Mammalia; Rodentia; Muridae. The record is from RNAcentral.
UCCGCAGGUUCUAGCAGUGGG